This 460-nucleotide ribosomal RNA is filed under the name uncultured bacterium. Its description in RNAcentral is "partial 16S ribosomal RNA". It matches the Rfam family "Bacterial small subunit ribosomal RNA", at positions 338 to 795 of the family's 1533-position model. The record is from RNAcentral.
CCUACGGGAGGCAGCAGUGAGGAAUAUUGGUCAAUGGGCGGAAGCCUGAACCAGCCAAGUAGCGUGCAGGAUGAAGGCCCUACGGAUCGUAAACUUCUUUUGCAAAGGGAUAACACCCGCCACGUGUGCCGGUCUGCAGGUACUUUACGAAUAAGCAUCGGCUAACUCCGUGCCAGCAGCCGCGGUAAUACGGAGGAUCCGAGCGUUAUCCGGAUUUAUUGGGUUUAAAGGGAGCGUAGGCCGGUCGUUAAGUGAGCCGGUAAAUUGUGGGGCUUAACCCUGGCAUUGCAGUGGAAACUGGAGGCCUUGAGUUCACAAGAGGCAGGCGGAAUUCGUGGUGUAGCGGUGAAAUGCUUAGAUAUCACGAAGAACCCCGAUUGCGAAGGCAGCCUGCCGGGGUGCGACUGACGCUGAGGCUCGAAGGUGCGGGUAUCAAACAGGAUUAGAUACCCGGGUAGUC